CCUACGGGGUGCAGCAGUGGGGAAUAUUGGACAAUGGGCGAAAGCCUGAUCCAGCCAUGCCGCGUGUGUGAAGAAGGCCUUCGGGUUGUAAAGCACUUUCAGUGGGGAAGAAAGCCUUGGGGCUAAUACCCUCGAGGAAGGACAUCACCCACAGAAGAAGCACCGGCGUAACUCCGUGCCAGCAGCCGCGGUAAUACGGAGGGUGCGAGCGUUAAUCGGAAUUACUGGGCGUAAAGCGCGCGUAGGCGGUCUGAUAAGCCGGUUGUGAAAGCCCCGGGCUCAACCUGGGAACGGCAUCCGGAACUGUCAGGCUAGAGUGCAGGAGAGGAAGGUAGAAUUCCCGGUGUAGCGGUGAAAUGCGUAGAGAUCGGGAGGAAUACCAGUGGCGAAGGCGGCCUUCUGGACUGACACUGACGCUGAGGUGCGAAAGCGUGGGUAGCAAACAGGAUUAGAUACCCUUGUAGUC
RNAcentral lists this ribosomal RNA (466 nucleotides) under Vreelandella stevensii. Its description in RNAcentral is "partial 16S ribosomal RNA". It matches the Rfam family "Bacterial small subunit ribosomal RNA", at positions 338 to 795 of the family's 1533-position model. The record is from RNAcentral. Lineage: Bacteria; Pseudomonadati; Pseudomonadota; Gammaproteobacteria; Oceanospirillales; Halomonadaceae.